This is a non-coding RNA of Peromyscus leucopus (white-footed mouse), 511 nucleotides long. Lineage: Eukaryota; Metazoa; Chordata; Mammalia; Rodentia; Cricetidae. The record is from the annotation of a RefSeq genome assembly.
AGCCCAUUCCUGAGUUCCCUGGUCUUACCAUUCGGGGAUCAGCACUAAACCCAGACCUCUCACCAUGAAGUUGUGGCUGAACUGCAUUUUCUUUGUAACUCUUGUAAAAGAUAUCCAAUGUGAAGUGCAGCUGGUGGAGUCUGGAGGAGGAUUGGUACAGCCUGGGGGUUCCCUGAAACUCUCCUGUGCAGCCUCUGGAUUCACCUUCAGUGACUAUUGGAUGAACUGGGUCCGCCAGGCUCCAGGGAAGGGGCUGGAAUGGAUUGCAGUGAGUAGAAACAAAGCUAAUAGUUACACAACAGAGUACAGUGCGACUGUGAAGGGCCGGUUCACCAUCUCCAGAGAUGAUUCCAAAAACACCCUCUACCUGCAAAUGAACAGCCUGAAGGCUGAGGACACUGCCACUUACUACUGUGCAAGAGACACAGUGAGGGGACUUCAUUGUGAACCCAGACACAAACCUCCUUGCCAGGGUGCCCAGCACCAACAGAGGGCGCUCUGGGCCAGAUAA